CGUCGAGCCUGCCGCCCAGGCCCCCGAGCAGCCGCAGGGCCUCCUGUACCGCCCCCUCCUCCUGAUGCCACCGGGCAGUCAGCGAGGACACCUCCCUCCUGGAGAGGCAGAGCUGCUGCUGGAGAUAACGCAGCUUCUCCUGGGCGGGGAAGGAAGGCGGGGUGACACCGUCCAGCCGCUUGCCUCCCACGACCACCCCCACCCGCCAAUCUGCCCAAUGACGCCCCGAGAUUGGAAACCCUCCACCCCCACUCCGGUUCUCCGUGGGGCCAAAUUCCAGCCCCUCCUGUUAGAACAAGUGAAGCUUUUCCAACAUGGUGCUGGGAAAUGAGUAAGAAAUGGGGGCCGGACAGGCAUUCCUGCUCAGAGUCGGACACGAGUCCCUCUCCAAGACCUGAACGCGAGUACGCAUGGAGGAGCUUGAACGUGAACGUUGAAGGGGCGGUGGCGGUGGUUGAUGGGGGGCGGGGGUGGCUGGGCAGGAAGCCCCGCCUGAAGUCUACUUCAAGUACCUCGUGCGUCUGACCUCUUCCCCAACCCUCCCCCCCGCCCCUCACCUCCAGCAGGGCAGAGUUCUGCUUCAGGACGUUGGUUUUUAUUUCAGCGUCUUCCACCGACUGGGUCACCUUCAGGCAGUUCUCCUGGCUGGUGAUGGAGUCUUUGGCACGGACCAAUCCACUGUUGACCCCACUCUGGGGAAGAAUGGGAGAAGGCAGAAAAUGCUUUAGGACUCAUGCGAAGCAAACUGUGGCCCAAGAGGGAUGCAGGUGGCAGGAUCCACUGUCUGCUCUUCCACAUUUUUAGAUGACUUAGCCUGGCACAUGACUGUCCAGGCAAAGACUACAUUUCCCAGGCUCCCUUGCAGCCACACUUGCGACUCUAUAGCUGAACCUCCAGAACACGGAACCUGUAAUGCACUUCAUUUGAAGAGUAAGCCUGCUACGCUUGUUGAGAUUAUUAUGUGAGAGAGAAAUAAAGUAUCUUGCCUAAGCCA
Molecule: long non-coding RNA, 994 nt
Organism: Herpailurus yagouaroundi (jaguarundi)
Lineage: Eukaryota; Metazoa; Chordata; Mammalia; Carnivora; Felidae
Exons: 6
Source: RefSeq, a predicted model, not a curated record